Molecule: ribosomal RNA, 485 nt
Filed under: Salmonella enterica subsp. enterica
Lineage: Bacteria; Pseudomonadati; Pseudomonadota; Gammaproteobacteria; Enterobacterales; Enterobacteriaceae
Description: partial 23S ribosomal RNA
Rfam family: Bacterial large subunit ribosomal RNA
Source: RNAcentral
GCCGGUAAGGUGAUAUGAACCGUUAUAACCGGCGAUUUCCGAAUGGGGAAACCCAGUGUGAUUCGUCACACUAUCAUUAACUGAAUCCAUAGGUUAAUGAGGCGAACCGGGGGAACUGAAACAUCUAAGUACCCCGAGGAAAAGAAAUCAACCGAGAUUCCCCCAGUAGCGGCGAGCGAACGGGGAGGAGCCCAGAGCCUGAAUCAGCAUGUGUGUUAGUGGAAGCGUCUGGAAAGGCGCGCGAUACAGGGUGACAGCCCCGUACACAAAAGCGCAUGUGCUGUGAGCUCGAUGAGUAGGGCGGGACACGUGGUAUCCUGUCUGAAUAUGGGGGGACCAUCCUCCAAGGCUAAAUACUCCUGACUGACCGAUAGUGAACCAGUACCGUGAGGGAAAGGCGAAAAGAACCCCGGCGAGGGGAGUGAAAAAGAACCUGAAACCGUGUACGUACAAGCAGUGGGAGCACAGGUUUACCUGUGUGACUG